RNAcentral lists this long non-coding RNA (456 nucleotides) under Mytilus galloprovincialis (Mediterranean mussel). Lineage: Eukaryota; Metazoa; Mollusca; Bivalvia; Mytilida; Mytilidae. The record is from RNAcentral.
UAUGCAUAAUCAUGAUAAUUUUCCUUUCAAUUUUAAAAAAUUCUGAUUUAUGUCAUUGUACUAUUGGGAUUUGGAUAGUCUCAAGAAUGCUUUCACCAAUUUUUAUGAAACUUUGGUGAAUUGUUUUUAAAUCUUGACAUAAACUCCCUUUUCAUUUUCAUGACCCAUAGUGGAGGGGGCAUUAAGUUUAACACUUGAUCUUCUGUCCGUCUGUCCAAAAGUUGUUUUUUGUUCUCUUACAGUACUUUAGUUUGCCUCAACCAAAUUUAAUUAAACUUUUACAAAAGCUUGUUAUCACAAUACUCAGAUCAAGUUUGAAUUUUGGUGAUGUCAGUGUUACUGUACUAGAGUUAUGCCCCUUUACAAAUGGGAAAAAAAUGCUGAAUUUUUGGUUUCCCGUUCUCUUAACUUUAGUUUGUCUCAACCAAAUGUUAUGAAACUUAUACACAAUGCUUA